This is a long non-coding RNA of Macrobrachium nipponense, 785 nucleotides long. RefSeq lists it as uncharacterized. The record is from RefSeq and is a predicted model, not a curated record. Lineage: Eukaryota; Metazoa; Arthropoda; Malacostraca; Decapoda; Palaemonidae. The transcript is spliced from 4 exons.
CAGUAAGGUUUUUACAUACAGUAGUACAUAUUACAUACGUACAUAACUUUUUUUUACAGGAAUUUCCAACCAAGUUUGAUUAUGUACAUAUGUACAUGUUAUAAACCACUGUACGUAUGGUUACUGUAUGUAACUUACUAAACAUACAUAACAUGACUUAACUUUGAUACUUUUUGGUACAUUCCAGAAAACCAGGACCCCCUCCAUGAUGCAGGCUAUGGGGCCACAUAAAACUUUGUCCAGGGUUACUACAUAACAUAAAGAACCCCCUGAAUGAUGUAGGCUAUGGGGCCACAUAAGACUUUGUCCAUCCAGGGUUACGUUGAAUGCCUAAUUUAAACUAAAGAACCCCCUGAAUGAUGUAGGCUAUGGGGCCACAUAAGACUUUGUCCAUCCAGGGUUACGAUGAAUGCCAAAUUUAAACUAAAGAGCUACCAGACUGGGAUUUUAGUGUACUCCAGGAUCUAACAAAUACAUACGUACUACUACGAAGUGUACAGUGCAUAAUAUAUAGUGUUUAGUGUAUAAUCUAACCUAAGGAUUAAGUGUAGUACAUUGUGCUUUUUAGUGUCACAAGAGUUUAAUAAAGAAUUAUACCUUCAAGAACCAUCCUUUGCCAUUGGAAUAACCACACUACACAUCAUGCAAUCUACUUGCAUGUCACACAGGUAAGGUCUCUAACUUUUUCUUAGUUUAAGGCAUAUUUCCAAGUGUCGUUCCGGCUUACGACGAUUUUCGGCUUACGACGCGCCUCAAGAACGGAACCCCCGUCGUAACCCGGGGAC